This 300-nucleotide long non-coding RNA is filed under the name Gossypium barbadense (sea-island cotton). RNAcentral's name for it is "long non-coding RNA (GBAR_LNC006185)". Lineage: Eukaryota; Viridiplantae; Streptophyta; Magnoliopsida; Malvales; Malvaceae. The record is from RNAcentral.
CUUUCUCUCCUUAUAACUCCUGUCAAAAAUUAUGGCAAGCACAAUAGCACAAGAUAUGUUCUCUAGCAACCUUAAUCAACCACAAAUCAACUAAUGCAACCACAACAAAAAUAAAUAGAGACACCGGUAUUUUUACGUGGAAAACCCCUCUAAAUUAAGGGUAAAAACCACGGGACUUUAGAGUCCGAUAAAGAGCUCCACUAUCAUCAAAUGUUCGGCUACAAGAUCACAAUAUCAAGCCUACAACAAGCAUUCAACUCCGACAAGGCUAACAAUAUGUAAUCUUUAGCAAAAGAGAGA